CAAUAGCGUAUAUUAAAGCUGUUGCGGUUAAAAAGCUCGUAGUUGGAUUUCUGUCAAGGACAACUGGUCCGCCCCUCGGGUGAGCACAUAGUUUGGUCUUGGCAUCUUGUUGGAAACUGUUGCUGCACUUGGUUGUGUGGCGCAGUGUCCAGCACUUUCACUUUGAGGAAAUUGGAGUGUUUCAAGCAGGCACAUGCCUUUGGACACAGUAGCAUGGAAUAAUUAGAUUGGGCUUUUGCUCCAACUUGUCGGUUUCUGGAGCUGAGGUGAGAAUUAAUGGGGAUUGUUGGGGGCAUCCGAAUUUAGCCGUCAGAGGUGAAAUUCUUGGAUCUGCUAAAGACGGACAACUGCGAAAGCGUUUGCCCAGGAUGUUUUCAUUGAA
Molecule: ribosomal RNA, 382 nt
Filed under: uncultured eukaryote
Lineage: Eukaryota
Description: partial 18S ribosomal RNA
Rfam family: Eukaryotic small subunit ribosomal RNA
Source: RNAcentral